RNAcentral lists this ribosomal RNA (390 nucleotides) under uncultured bacterium. RNAcentral's name for it is "bacterial SSU rRNA". It matches the Rfam family "Bacterial small subunit ribosomal RNA", at positions 28 to 419 of the family's 1533-position model. The record is from RNAcentral.
GACGAACGCUGGCGGCGUGCUUAACACAUGCAAGUCGAGCGGUAAGGCCCUUUCGGGGGUACACGAGCGGCGAACGGGUGAGUAACACGUGGGUGACCUGCCUUUAGCUCUGGGAUAAGCCUGGGAAACUGGGUCUAAUACCGGAUAUGACUCCGCGGUGCAUGCUGUGGGGUGGAAAGCCUUGUGCGGCUGGAGAUGGGCCCGCGGCCUAUCAGCUUGUUGGUGGGGUGANGGCCUACCAAGGCGACGACGGGUAGCCGGCCUGAGAGGGCGACCGGCCACACUGGGACUGAGACACGGCCCAGACUCCUACGGGAGGCAGCAGUGGGGAAUCUUGCGCAAUGGGCGAAAGCCUGACGCAGCGACGCCGCGUGCGGGAAGAAGGCCUGG